CCGAGUCAGGGUCUUUCAGGCCCGAAACUCCAACCCAAUGUCUAUUUACCAUGUUGCUUUGGCGGGCCCGCUUCACGGCCGCCGAUGGUAUUUUAACCAUUGGCCAGUGCCCGCCGAUAGCCUAAACAAAUUCUUAUUAAUUGUGAUGUCUGAUUAUAAUGAAAAUUCAUUA
Molecule: unclassified non-coding RNA, 172 nt
Filed under: uncultured fungus
Lineage: Eukaryota; Fungi
Description: sequence contains ITS1, 5.8S rRNA gene
Source: RNAcentral